Molecule: ribosomal RNA, 128 nt
Filed under: uncultured eukaryote
Lineage: Eukaryota
Description: partial small subunit ribosomal RNA
Rfam family: Eukaryotic small subunit ribosomal RNA
Source: RNAcentral
CCCUGCCAUUUGUACACACCGCCCGUCGCUCCUACCGAUUGAAUGGUCCGGUGAAGUGUUCGGAUUGCGGCGACGUGGGCGGUCCGCUGCCCGCGACGUGGUGAGAAGUCCACUGAACCUUAUCAUUU